RNAcentral lists this small RNA (132 nucleotides) under Escherichia coli. RNAcentral describes it as "RtT sRNA". It matches the Rfam family "RtT RNA". From Rfam's summary of the family: This family represents a bacterial cis-regulatory element known as RtT RNA. Lineage: Bacteria; Pseudomonadati; Pseudomonadota; Gammaproteobacteria; Enterobacterales; Enterobacteriaceae. The record is from RNAcentral.
GUUUGCACUCAUCGGGGAAGGGUGAGAACCUUCGACUAAGGUUCUGAUUCGAGCGAAAGCGAGAGAACGUUGCCACAGGCAACGGCCCGAAGGGUGAGGAGCGAAGCGACGAAUAAUCCUUCCCCACCACCA